UGGGGAAUAUUGCACAAUGGAGGGAACUCUGAUGCAGCGACGCCGCGUGAACGAAGAAGGCUUUCGAGUGGUAAAGUUCUUUUAUAUGGGAAGAUAAUGACGGUACCAUAAGAAAAAGCCCCGGCUAACUACGUGCCAGCAGCCGCGGUAAUACGUAGGGGGCUAGCGUUGUCCGGAAUCACUGGGCGUAAAGGGUUCGCAGGCGGAAAUGCAAGUCAGGUGUAAAAGGCAGUAGCUUAACUACUGUAAGCAUUUGAAACUGCAUAUCUUGAGAAGAGUAGAGGUAAGUGGAAUUUUUAGUGUAGCGGUGAAAUGCGUAGAUAUUAAAAAGAAUACCGGUGGCGAAGGCGGCUUACUGGGCUCAUUCUGACGCUGAGGAACGCAAGCGUGGGUAGCAAACAGG
RNAcentral lists this ribosomal RNA (403 nucleotides) under bacterium. RNAcentral's name for it is "partial 16S ribosomal RNA". It matches the Rfam family "Bacterial small subunit ribosomal RNA", at positions 355 to 776 of the family's 1533-position model. The record is from RNAcentral.